UACAGGGGGGGCAAGCGUUGUUCGGAAUUACUGGGCGUAAAGGGUUCGUAGGUGGCCAACUAAGUCAGACGUGAAAUCCCUCAGCUUAACUGGGGAACUGCGUCUGAUACUGGAUGGCUUGAGUGUGGGAGAGGAAUGCGGAAUUCCAGGUGUAGCGGUGAAAUGCGCAGAUAUCAGGAGGAACACCUAUUGCGAAGGCAGCUCGCUGGGACGUAACUGACGCUGAGACGCGAAAGCGUGGGGAGCAAACAGG
RNAcentral lists this ribosomal RNA (253 nucleotides) under uncultured bacterium. RNAcentral describes it as "partial 16S ribosomal RNA". It matches the Rfam family "Bacterial small subunit ribosomal RNA", at positions 524 to 776 of the family's 1533-position model. The record is from RNAcentral.